This 440-nucleotide ribosomal RNA is filed under the name uncultured bacterium. Its description in RNAcentral is "partial 16S ribosomal RNA". It matches the Rfam family "Bacterial small subunit ribosomal RNA", at positions 338 to 795 of the family's 1533-position model. The record is from RNAcentral.
CCUACGGGAGGCUGCAGUGGGGAAUAUUGCACAAUGGGGGAAACUCUGAUGCAGCGACGCCGCGUGCGUGAAGAAGUAUUUCGGUAUGUAAAGCUCUAUCAGCAGGGAAGAAAAUGACGGUACCUGAUUUAGAAGCCCCGGCUAACUACGUGCCAGCAGCCGCGGUAAUACGUAGGGAGCAAGCGUUAUACGGAUUUACUGGGUGUAAAGGGAGCGUAGACGGCAGCGCAAGUCUGAAGUGAAAUGCCGGGGCUUAACCCCGGAACUGCUUUGGAAACUGUGCAGCUAGAGUGCAGGAGAGGUAAGUGGAAUUUCUAGUGUAGCGGUGAAAUGCGUAGAUAUUAGGAAGAACACCAGUGGCGAAGGCGGCUUACUGGACUGUAACUGACGUUGAGGCUCGAAAGCGUGGGGAGCAAACAGGAUUAGAUAUCCGGGUAGUC